UUAAGCGACUAAGCGUACACGGUGGAUGCCCUGGCAGUCAGAGGCGAUGAAGGACGUGCUAAUCUGCGAAAAGCGCCGGCGAGGUGAUAUGAACCUUUGACCCGGCGAUGUCCGAAUGGGGAAACCCAGUGUGAUUCGUCACACUAUCGUUAACUGAAUACAUAGGUUAACGAGGCGAACCGGGGGAACUGAAACAUCUAAGUACCCCGAGGAAAAGAAAUCAACCGAGAUUCCCCCAGUAGCGGCGAGCGAACGGGGAGCAGCCCGGAGUCUGAAUCAGCUUGUGUGUUAGUGGAACGGUCUGGAAAGUCCGACGGUACAGGGUGAUAGUCCCGUACACGAAAAUGCACAGGUUGUGAACUCGAAGAGUAGGGCGGGACACGUGGUAUCCUGUCUGAAUAUGGGGGGACCAUCCUCCAAGGCUAAAUACUCCUGACUGACCGAUAGUGAACCAGUACCGUGAGGGAAAGGCGAAAAGAACCCCGGCGAGGGGAGUGAAAAAGAACCUGAAACCGUGUACGUACAAGCAGUGGGAGCCUACUUGUUAGGUGACUGCGUACCUUUUGUAUAAUGGGUCAGCGACUUAUAUUCUGUAGCAAGGUUAACCGUAUAGGGGAGCCGAAGGGAAACCGAGUCUUAACUGGGCGUUAAGUUGCAGGGUAUAGACCCGAAACCCGGUGAUCUAGCCAUGGGCAGGUUGAAGGUUGGGUAACACUAACUGGAGGACCGAACCGACUAAUGUUGAAAAAUUAGCGGAUGACCUGUGGCUGGGGGUGAAAGGCCAAUCAAACCGGGAGAUAGCUGGUUCUCCCCGAAAGCUAUUUAGGUAGCGCCUCGUGAACUCAUCUUCGGGGGUAGAGCACUGUUUCGGCUAGGGGGCCAUCCCGGCUUACCAACCCGAUGCAAACUACGAAUACCGAAGAAUGUUAUCACGGGAGACACACGGCGGGUGCUAACGUCCGUCGUGAAGAGGGAAACAACCCAGACCGCCAGCUAAGGUCCCAAAGUCAUGGUUAAGUGGGAAACGAUGUGGGAAGGCACAGACAGCCAGGAUGUUGGCUUAGAAGCAGCCAUCAUUUAAAGAAAGCGUAAUAGCUCACUGGUCGAGUCGGCCUGCGCGGAAGAUGUAACGGGGCUAAACCAUGCACCGAAGCUGCGGCAGCGACACUAUGUGUUGUUGGGUAGGGGAGCGUUCUGUAAGCCGUUGAAGGUGGCCUGUGAGGGUUGCUGGAGGUAUCAGAAGUGCGAAUGCUGACAUAAGUAACGAUAAAGCGGGUGAAAAGCCCGCUCGCCGGAAGACCAAGGGUUCCUGUCCAACGUUAAUCGGGGCAGGGUGAGUCGACCCCUAAGGCGAGGCCGAAAGGCGUAGUCGAUGGGAAACAGGUUAAUAUUCCUGUACUUGGUGUUACUGCGAAGGGGGGACGGAGAAGGCUAUGUUAGCCGGGCGACGGUUGUCCCGGUUUAAGCAUGUAGGCGGAGGUUCCAGGUAAAUCCGGUACCUUAUUAACGCUGAGGUGUGAUGACGAGGCACUACGGUGCUGAAGUAACAAAUGCCCUGCUUCCAGGAAAAGCCUCUAAGCAUCAGGUAACACGAAAUCGUACCCCAAACCGACACAGGUGGUCAGGUAGAGAAUACCAAGGCGCUUGAGAGAACUCGGGUGAAGGAACUAGGCAAAAUGGUGCCGUAACUUCGGGAGAAGGCACGCUGAUAUGUAGGUGAAGCCCCUGCGGGUGGAGCUGAAAUCAGUCGAAGAUACCAGCUGGCUGCAACUGUUUAUUAAAAACACAGCACUGUGCAAACACGAAAGUGGACGUAUACGGUGUGACGCCUGCCCGGUGCCGGAAGGUUAAUUGAUGGGGUUAGCGGUAACGCGAAGCUCUUGAUCGAAGCCCCGGUAAACGGCGGCCGUAACUAUAACGGUCCUAAGGUAGCGAAAUUCCUUGUCGGGUAAGUUCCGACCUGCACGAAUGGCGUAAUGAUGGCCAGGCUGUCUCCACCCGAGACUCAGUGAAAUUGAACUCGCUGUGAAGAUGCAGUGUACCCGCGGCAAGACGGAAAGACCCCGUGAACCUUUACUAUAGCUUGACACUGAACACUGGUCCUUGAUGUGUAGGAUAGGUGGGAGGCUUUGAAGCGUGGACGCCAGUCUGCGUGGAGCCGACCUUGAAAUACCACCCUUUAAUGGCUGGUGUUCUAACGUAGACCCGUAAUCCGGGUUGCGGACAGUGUCUGGUGGGUAGUUUGACUGGGGCGGUCUCCUCCCAAAGAGUAACGGAGGAGCACGAAGGUUAGCUAAUCCUGGUCGGACAUCAGGAGGUUAGUGCAAUGGCAUAAGCUAGCUUGACUGCGAGAGUGACGGCUCGAGCAGGUGCGAAAGCAGGUCAUAGUGAUCCGGUGGUUCUGAAUGGAAGGGCCAUCGCUCAACGGAUAAAAGGUACUCCGGGGAUAACAGGCUGAUACCGCCCAAGAGUUCAUAUCGACGGCGGUGUUUGGCACCUCGAUGUCGGCUCAUCACAUCCUGGGGCUGAAGUAGGUCCCAAGGGUAUGGCUGUUCGCCAUUUAAAGUGGUACGCGAGCUGGGUUUAGAACGUCGUGAGACAGUUCGGUCCCUAUCUGCCGUGGGCGCUGGAGAAUUGAGGGGGGCUGCUCCUAGUACGAGAGGACCGGAGUGGACGCAUCACUGGUGUUCGGGUUGUCAUGCCAAUGGCACUGCCCGGUAGCUAAAUGCGGAAGAGAUAAGUGCUGAAAGCAUCUAAGCACGAAACUUGCCCCGAGAUGAGUUCUCCCUGAGACUUUAAGUCUCCUGAAGGAACGUUGAAGACGACGACGUUGAUAGGUCGGGUGUGUAAGCGCAGCGAUGCGUUGAGCUAACCGAUACUAAUGAACCGUGAGGCUUAACCU
RNAcentral lists this ribosomal RNA (2902 nucleotides) under Enterobacter cloacae. RNAcentral's name for it is "23S ribosomal RNA". It matches the Rfam family "Bacterial large subunit ribosomal RNA". The record is from RNAcentral. Lineage: Bacteria; Pseudomonadati; Pseudomonadota; Gammaproteobacteria; Enterobacterales; Enterobacteriaceae.